ACGGUUCCGUUUASGCGGUUCCGUUAGCGAGGGCACGCCACCUUCGGCCUGAAUGUUCCGGUGCCGUAGUCGUGCACUUCUCCCCUAGUAGAACGUCGCGACCCGUUGUGUGUCGGUCUACGGCCCGAGAGGGCGCCUGUCGCGUCGCUUCGCGCGCACGCGGCAGACCCUCGGUCGCCCGGYCGGCUGCACGACGGUACUCGCACGGUAUCGGGCCGCAACCAAUCCAUUUUCGAAUGCGUUUGCGUCUGUCCCGCCGCAAGCUCGGUCAGUUCUUACCCGGAGGUACGGAGAUUAAGCCGUCCCCGGGCCUGGCCAGCUGUUCGCAGGCGGAUGUAAUCAGACUGGCCAAAUUUUAAAAUACCGGUCGGCGACGCUAUUGCUUUGGGUACUCUCAGGACCCGUCUUGAAACACGGACCAAGGAGUCUAACAUGUGCGCGAGUCAUUGGGACUUGAUUAAACCUAAAGGCGAAAUGAAAGUGAAAAUCGACCUUCGCGUCGAUCGAGGGAGGAUGGGCCGCGUUGCUAAUGCGGCCUCGCACUCCCGGGGCGUCUCGUUCUCAUUGCGAGAAGAGGCGCACCCAGAGCGUACACGUUGGGACCCGAAAGAUGGUGAACUAUGCCUGGUCAGGACGAAGUCAGGGGAAACCCUGAUGGAGGUCCGUAGCGAUUCUGACGUGCAAAUCGAUCGUCGGAACUGGGUAUAGGGGCGAAAGACUAAUCGAACCAUCUAGUAGCUGGUUCCCUCCGAAGUUUCCCUCAGGAUAGCUGGCACUCGGUCGUUCCUUAGUGAACAGACGCGAGUUUCAUCUGGUAAAGCGAAUGAUUAGAGGCCUUGGGGCCGAAACGACCUCAACCUAUUCUCAAACUUUAAAUGGGUGAGAUCUCUGGCUUGCUUGGAUCAUGAAGCCACGAGACUAUUUCGAAUCAGAGUGCCAAGUGGGCCAAUUUUGGUAAGCAGAACUGGCGCUGUGGGAUGAACCAAACGCAGAGUUAAGGCGCCUAAGUCGACGCUUAUGGGAUACCAUGAAAGGCGUUGGUUGCUUAAGACAGCAGGACGGUGGCCAUGGAAGUCGGAAUCCGCUAA
RNAcentral lists this ribosomal RNA (1088 nucleotides) under Centris difformis. Its description in RNAcentral is "eukaryotic LSU rRNA". It matches the Rfam family "Eukaryotic large subunit ribosomal RNA", at positions 590 to 1274 of the family's 3401-position model. Lineage: Eukaryota; Metazoa; Arthropoda; Insecta; Hymenoptera; Apidae. The record is from RNAcentral.